UUAUAAUUUUUUUUCUGUAGCUUAGUUUAUUGUAAGAAUACAGUAUAUAAUACACAUAGCAUGCAAAAUAUGUCUUAAAUGUAAUGCAUGUUAUCAGUAAGCCUUCUGGUCAACAAUAGGUUAUUAGUAGUUUGGGGGGAAUCAAAAGUUGUAUGCGGAUUUUUCACUGUGUGGGAGGCCAGCUCCCCUAACCCUAUGUUGUUCAAGGGGCAACAAUAUUCUUUCUCACUGGCACUUUACUUUCCAUAAAUUCAAAUCCCAAAAGUAGAACUGCAAGUUCAAAAGGAUUUUUAAAAACAUAAUUACUGUCAGAUUACAGAAAGUUUCCAAUUUCCAUUUUCACUACCAAUGUACAAUGUUGGCGUCCCUGAAUCCUUAUCAGCAAUGAAUUUUUAAAUAUACUAUAAGAGAUGAAAAAAUUUUUUUUAAAUUUGGAAUUCCCUGAUCACUAAUGAAGUUAAGCAUCAAUAUUAUUCCUUUAAUAUGCAAAUGCUGAAAAUACAUUUAACUAUAAUAGAUGUCAAAAAUCUGUAAAUCAGGCUAGGUGUGGUAGGCACUCACCUGUAUUCCCAGCCACUGGGAGACUUGAGUCCAGGAGUUCCAGACUGUAGUAUGCAAUGAUCAAGCCUGUGAAUAGCCACUGCACUCCAGCAUGGACAACAUAGCAAGACCCCAUCUUUUUUUAAAAAAAAGAGUCUAUAAGACAAAGGUCCUCAUAAAUUAAGAGAAGCCAAGACAGUCACUGUGACUUCAGAAUAUUUUAAUUUUUUUUAUUAUACUUUAAGUUCUAGGGUACAUGUGCACAACGUGCUGGUUUGUUACAUAUGUAUACAUGUGCCAUGUUGGUGUGCUGCACCCAUUAACUCAUCUUUUACAUUAGGUAUAUCUCCUAAUGCUAUCCCUCCCCCAGCCCCCCACCACAGAGCAGGCCCCAGUGUGUGAUGUUCCCUUUCCUGUAUCCAUGUCUUCUCAUUGUUCAAUUCCCACCUGUGAGUGAGAACAUGCGGUGUUUGGUUUUUUGUCCUUGUGAUAGUUUGCUGAGAAUGAUGGUUUCCAGCUUCAUCCAUGUCCCUACAAAGGACAUGAACUCAUCCUUUUUCAUGGCUGCAUAGUAUUCCAUGGUGUAUAUGUGCCACAUUUUCUUAAUCCAGUCUAUCACUGAUGGACAUUUGGGUUGGUUCCAAGUCUUUGCUAUUGUGAAUAGUGCCGCAAUAAACAUACGUGUGCGUGUGUCUUUAUAGCAGCAUGAUUUAUAAUCCUUUGGGUAUAUACCCAGUAAUGGGAUGGCUAGGUCAAAUGGUAUUUCUAGUUCUAGAUCCUUGAGGAAUCACCACACUGUCUUCCACAAUGAUUUAACCAGUUUACAGUCCCACCAACAGUGUGAAAGUGUUCCUAUUUCUCCACAUCCUCUCCAGCACCUGUUGUUUCCUGACUUUUUAAUGAUCGCCAUUCUAACUGGUGUGAGAUGGUAUCUCAUUGUGGUUUUGAUUUGCAUUUCUCUGAUGGCCAGUGAUGAUGAGCAUUUUUUCAUGUGUCUGUUGGCUGCAUAAAUGUCUUCUUUUGAGAAGUGUCUCUUCAUAUACUUCACCCACUUGUUGAUGGGGUUGUUUGUUUUUUCUUGUAAAUUUGUUUGAGUUCAUUGUAGAUUCUGGAUAUUAGCCCUUUGUCAGAUGAGUGGAUUGCAAAAAUGUUCUCCCAUUCUGUAGGCUGCCUGUUCACUCUGAUGGUAGUUUCUUUUGCUGUGUAGGAGCUCUUUAGUUUAAUUAGAUCCCAUUUGUCAAUUUUGGCUUUUAUUGCCAUUGCUUUCAGUGUUUUAGACAUGAAGUCCUUGCCAUGCCUGUGUCCUGAAUGGUAUUGCCUAGGUUUUCUUCUAGGGUUUUUAUGGUUUUAGGUCUAACAUGUAAGUCUUUAAUCCAUCUUGAAUUAAUUUUUGUAUAAGGUGUAAGGAAGGGACCCAGUUUCAGCUUUCUACAUAUGGCUAGCCAGUUUUCCCAGCACCAUUUAUUAAACAGGGAAUCCUUUCCCCAUUUCUUGCUUUUGUCAGGUUUGUCAAAGAUCAGAUGGUUGUAGAUGUGUGGUGUUAUUUCUGAGGGCUCUGUUCUGUUCCAUUGGUCUAUAUCUCUGUUUGGUACAAGUACCAUGCUGUUUUGGUUACUGUAGCCUCAUAGUCUAGUUUGAAGUCAGGUAGCGUGAUGCCUCCAGCUUUGUUCUUUUCGCUUAGGAUUGACUUGGCAAUGCGGGUUCUUUUUUGUUUCCGUAUGAACUUUAAAGUAGUUUUUUUCCAAUUCUGUAAAGAAAGUCAUUGGUAGCUUGAUGGGGAUGGCAUUGAAUCUAUAAAUUACCUUGGGCAGUAUGGCCAUUUUCACGAUAUUGAUUCUUCCUAUCCAUGAGCAUGGAAUGUUCUUCCAUUUGUUUGUGUCCUCUUUUAUUUCCUUGAGCAGUGGUUUGUAGUUCUCCUUGAAUAGGUCCUUCACAUCCCUUGUAAGUUGGGUUCCUAGGUAUUAUUUCAAAUAUUAUUGUAAAACAAUGAGAUAUUGAAACAUACAUUGGAGCAAACUCUUCUUCAUUCUUAAAUCCUUUCAGCACAGAGACAAUCAACUGACUGUGUGGGUACUACCUGACCACUAUUGGAGUCUCUUUCAUCUGCCUGAGUCUGUGCAACAAUAUGAAAUUAUAAUUUUACUAUGCACCUAAACUUUCCUCAAUAUAUUGAAUUCUUACAGAAUUUGAAGAGUCAAAUUUUGUAAAUCCAGUUACCUUUUUCCACUACUCUAGGCCUCAUAUACUAUCUGGCCUAAGGGUUAAAGGUCCACAAUUGAAUAAGCCAAACUUGUUAAUUUGAGGGUAAAGCAUGUCAAGAAAUCUGGCCUUAAUGUCCAAUGAACUUAUGUCAUAUUAAGUAGCUGGAUAGAAACAUGCAUUCCAAAGUGGAUGCUGUUUAUCAGGCUCAGUGCUCUAUUCUUGACAGUAAAUCCCAGAAUAGGGUGGAUGCUUUAAUUUUGUAUUAAAUAGUAUUAGGUGUAAUAUCAAAACCACUAAGGGAACACUAAUGAUGAGAAUAGGAACACUAGCUGUGGAGCUGGCAAUUUUCUAUAGAAAUCCUAUCUCUUUCAAUUGCCUGUUUAGUGGGCAAGUGUUUCAGUUCCUAUAAUAUCUAAAUUGGAGAAAAUCACCCCACCUACUUCUUCAGGUGUUAUGAUAAUUAUGAGGGAUAACAUCUUUUUAAGUGUUUAACACAAUUCCUCACACAUAGAAAGCAAUAAUAAACAUUGGCUAGCAUUGUAAGGAUGGAUUAUUGUCUUCCAAUGUGUUUUCAUACAUUUUCUUUCUAGGAUCUUGAGUGAAACAUGUGGAUCUAGAACAAGAACAAAAUGAUGUUACCUUGAUGAUCUCUAUGUAGGGUCACACUCAAGGCAUCUUAAAAUAUUUUGCUGGCCAAAAAAGACACCUCCUGUUCUAAUUGGGCAUUGUCCUUUUCUUUAAACUAUGCAGACAAACAAUAUUAUAAAGUGAGAACAUCCGCAUAAAAAACCUAAACAUAAAUCUUAAUAGUGAGUUCAUGAAAAUUCUUACUGAUGAAAUGGCAAUGUCACAGACUGACUGUUUAUGUCCCCCCAAAUUUGUAUAUUGAAAUCCUAACCCCCAAGCUACUCGUGUUAGGAGAUAGAGCCUUGGGGAGGUGAUUAGGUCAUGAGGACAAGAUUCUCAUGAAUGGGAUUUGAGCCCUCAUAAAAGAGACCCCAGAGAGCUCAUUGGCCCCUUCCAAAGUAUGGGGAUACAGCAGGAAGUUGCCAUCUAUGAGCCAGAAGGGUGAACCUCACCCCAGAUGCUGAAUCUGCCUUGAUAUUGGACUUCCCAGCCUGCACAACUGACAAACUGGAAACACAGGUUAUAUCACCAAGGCUUUGACUGAAACAUCAUGUUUUCAGAUAUGACCAGAAGGCUUUAGGGGACUAAGGUUGGCUUUAUGGAACCAAUAAAGUACCAUCUUGGAAAAACUGGCUCUAGGGUUCCCAGACUUACAGGCACUGUACGUGGCACUGAGAAUGCAAAGCAAAACGAGUCAUGGUCUACUGGCGGGAGCCUUCUCAGCGGAGAAAAGAUCAACAAGAAAAGUGCCUGCUGGAGACCCCUCCUAGGGCAUAAACCAAUAUAGAGGUGGGGCAGCUACGUCAGCCUGAGGUGUCCUUAGGCAGAACAGAAAGUGAGAAUCAGAGCAGUAUCUCAUUUCUGAAAACCUGGAUUGUAGCUUUCCCUGGGCUGACUGUCAAAGGAGGUGGUUUUAAAAAGCAAGCCAAACAGGUUUCCAUCCUUUAGGAAGACCCUGGAACGUGCCAGUUGAUUCUGACAAUUUCUCAUGAACAGAAACACCUAGGAAGGGAGAACUGGUGAGUCUUUUCAAGAGGAGGAAGUCCCUCAAAAGGGGCUGUGUUUCGCAAACGGCGCCCCAAAAGGGCUGAAAUACUUCGAUCUGGAAGAAAAAGACUCAGGCACUGAGGGAAGGGGAGGGUGCACAUCUGGAGUAAUUUCAAGGCUUUUUCCGUGUUAUCUGAUGUGGCAACAAGUAGAGAUUUGUUCGUUUUA
Homo sapiens (human) is the source of this 4584-nucleotide long non-coding RNA. RefSeq lists it as uncharacterized. The transcript has 3 exons. NCBI's taxonomy places the organism in Eukaryota, Metazoa, Chordata, Mammalia, Primates, Hominidae. The record is from RefSeq and is a predicted model, not a curated record.